CGUACACUCCUACGGGAGGCAGCAGUGGGGAAUAUUGGACAAUGGGCGCAAGCCUGAUCCAGCCAUGCCGCGUGAGUGAUGAAGGCCCUAGGGUUGUAAAGCUCUUUCACCGGUGAAGAUAAUGACGGUAACCGGAGAAGAAGCCCCGGCUAACUUCGUGCCAGCAGCCGCGGUAAUACGAAGGGGGCUAGCGUUGUUCGGAUUUACUGGGCGUAAAGCGCACGUAGGCGGACUAUUAAGUCAGGGGUGAAAUCCCGGGGCUCAACCCCGGAACUGCCUUUGAUACUGGUAGUCUUGAGUUCGAGAGAGGUGAGUGGAAUUCCGAGUGUAGAGGUGAAAUUCGUAGAUAUUCGGAGGAACACCAGUGGCGAAGGCGGCUCACUGGCUCGAUACUGACGCCGAGGUGCGAAAGCGUGGGGAGCAAACAGGAUUAGAAACCCCGGUAGUCCCAUGAU
This 455-nucleotide ribosomal RNA is filed under the name uncultured organism. RNAcentral's name for it is "partial 16S ribosomal RNA". It matches the Rfam family "Bacterial small subunit ribosomal RNA", at positions 330 to 801 of the family's 1533-position model. The record is from RNAcentral.